UUGCCAGACAAAUAUGUACAGCUUUUAACUACCAGCCUUUCGCUUUUGUAACUUGGUGAAGCAAGCCUUUUCUGGUCUCAUAGACAUGUUUCUUUAAACUUUAAAGACUGCUGCAGGACUUUUCUGGGAGACAUGAACACACAUGACUUCACACCAGGUUGACACCUCUCACCCUGAUUGUAGUCUUACCAGGAUUUCCUAAUCUGAUCCCCUUAAAGUAAAAGCACUGUGAGACCAGGACCAAGGCACUCACCUCCGUUGGCGUAGCUUUUGAGAGACCCAGAGGCCAUGUGAGGACAUAGUUUUAAGUUCGCCAUGUGCAACACAAGUGAGAAAAUCCUCACCAGGAACCGAAUGGACCAGCACCCAACCUUCAUCUUGGAGAAAUAAAUGCCUGCUUAAACCAGA
Peromyscus eremicus (cactus mouse) is the source of this 408-nucleotide long non-coding RNA. RefSeq lists it as uncharacterized. The transcript has 3 exons. The record is from RefSeq and is a predicted model, not a curated record. NCBI's taxonomy places the organism in Eukaryota, Metazoa, Chordata, Mammalia, Rodentia, Cricetidae.